AGGAUUGUAGUUAAAUAUAACAUUUGAUUUGCAUUCAAAAAAUAUUAAAAAAAUUUUAGUCUAUCUUA
RNAcentral lists this transfer RNA (68 nucleotides) under Chaoborus sp. ZK-2019. RNAcentral describes it as "tRNA-Ala". It matches the Rfam family "tRNA". From Rfam's summary of the family: Transfer RNA (tRNA) molecules are approximately 80 nucleotides in length. Lineage: Eukaryota; Metazoa; Arthropoda; Insecta; Diptera; Chaoboridae. The record is from RNAcentral.